This 895-nucleotide ribosomal RNA is filed under the name Dichotomopilus funicola. RNAcentral describes it as "LSU rRNA". It matches the Rfam family "Eukaryotic large subunit ribosomal RNA", at positions 37 to 965 of the family's 3401-position model. The record is from RNAcentral. Lineage: Eukaryota; Fungi; Ascomycota; Sordariomycetes; Sordariales; Chaetomiaceae.
AGCAUAUCAAUAAGCGGAGGAAAAGAAACCAACAGGGAUUGCCCUAGUAACGGCGAGUGAAGCGGCAACAGCUCAAAUUUGAAAUCUGGCCUCGGCCCGAGUUGUAAUUUGCAGAGGAAGCUUUAGGCGCGGCACCUUCUGAGUCCCCUGGAACGGGGCGCCAUAGAGGGUGAGAGCCCCGUAUAGUUGGAUGCCUAGCCUGUGUAAAGCUCCUUCGACGAGUCGAGUAGUUUGGGAAUGCUGCUCAAAAUGGGAGGUAAAUUUCUUCUAAAGCUAAAUACCGGCCAGAGACCGAUAGCGCACAAGUAGAGUGAUCGAAAGAUGAAAAGCACUUUGAAAAGAGGGUUAAAAAGCACGUGAAAUUGUUGAAAGGGAAGCGCUUGUGACCAGACUUGCGCCGGGCUGAUCAUCCGGUGUUCUCACCGGUGCACUCGGCCCGGCACAGGCCAGCAUCGGUUCUCGCGGGGGGAUAAAGGUCCCGGGAACGUAGCUCCUCCGGGAGUGUUAUAGCCCGGGGCGUAAUGCCCUCGCGGGGACCGAGGUUCGCGCAUCUGCAAGGAUGCUGGCGUAAUGGUCAUCAGCGACCCGUCUUGAAACACGGACCAAGGAGUCAAGGUUUUGCGCGAGUGUUUGGGUGUCAAACCCGCACGCGUAAUGAAAGUGAACGUAGGUGAGAGCUUCGGCGCAUCAUCGACCGAUCCUGAUGUUUUCGGAUGGAUUUGAGUAGGAGCGUUAAGCCUUGGACCCGAAAGAUGGUGAACUAUGCUUGGAUAGGGUGAAGCCAGAGGAAACUCUGGUGGAGGCUCGCAGCGGUUCUGACGUGCAAAUCGAUCGUCAAAUCUGAGCAUGGGGGCGAAAGACUAAUCGAACCAUCUAGUAGCUGGUUACCGCCGAA